RNAcentral lists this small nucleolar RNA (104 nucleotides) under Catagonus wagneri (Chacoan peccary). RNAcentral describes it as "Small nucleolar RNA U13 (ENSCWAG00000019257.1)". It matches the Rfam family "Small nucleolar RNA U13". Lineage: Eukaryota; Metazoa; Chordata; Mammalia; Artiodactyla; Tayassuidae. The record is from Rfam by way of RNAcentral.
AUCCUUUUGUAGUUCAUGAGCAUGAUGAUGGGGUGAUCACAUGUCUGUGUGAUAUGAGUCUCCCUCAAACCUUGUUCCGACAUCAGCACAUUACCUGUACGAUG